Oreochromis aureus is the source of this 2132-nucleotide long non-coding RNA. NCBI's taxonomy places the organism in Eukaryota, Metazoa, Chordata, Actinopteri, Cichliformes, Cichlidae. The record is from Ensembl.
GGAAAACUCCAUAUCCCACAAUUCAUAGCACACCUCUGCCGAGUUAAACAAUGGCGGCCACCACUUCGUUUUAUAUGUCUUUUAUUAGUGUUUCUAGGUCACAAAAUAAACUUUUAAGAUAUUUUCAGGCGAGAAUGUAGGUGUGUAAACUUCAAAUAUCUGCUCGUUUUAUCAAGACAUCGCAUAUUAGCGACAGUUCUCUUACGUGUUGCUAAUAGCCGGCUAGCUAGCUAGCCCCGCUAUGACGACACUACGCAAUGACGACACUCAACGGCGCGUGUCUCUUCGCCCCUCCUCCGCUUUGAAAUUGACCGUCGACGUGAUUUUGUAAGACAACGUCGCUAUCGUUUCACCGGUAAGGCGUUUUCCCCCCUCCUCCACUUUGGACUUGAACUUACAGUGAUUUUCUGAAGUGUUUACUAAGACACACCGUAAGCUUUUACAAGGCGUUAACUACAGCAGACUUUUAUACCUCAACUCUUGAUUCAGCCAAGGUAAGUGCCCCCCCCCCUUAUAUUUUCUAUGUAUGUGUUCAGCUGAUAUUUAGAAAAAAAUAGGUGUGUUUAGCGUUGGAUGUCAUUUUAUUCCAGAGCUGUUGUUUGUAAUUAAAACUUUUAAGAUUAGAUGGUACAGUGUUUUUACUCCCUUCCAAACAGUAAAGUUCCUCUUUGUUUCUCAGUAGGAAAUUUAAACCAGACAGUACAAGGCUACAUUUCAGUGUUACAAGCCAAUCAGUUUGCUAAUUGCUCUGUGAGAUUUGUUUGCAAAGUUUAAGGUGUUAAGUAGGACUGUGAACAUCUGGGUCUGCUUGCUGCUGGCAUUCUGCCACAGCCCCAGCAACAAGACCGCCUCCCAGCAACGAGACUGCCUGUCAGCCUUGCAAGGUACCCAAUUUUCCAAUUACUCUAUAACAAAACUGUUGUGGGCAACUAGACUGUCUCCUAAGUUUGCAAGCCAAUCACUUUGCCAAAUGUUCUUGUAAGAUUUGUUUGAAAAGUUUGAGGUGGUAACUGUGAGCUGUGAACAUCUGGGUUUGCUUGCUGCUGGCAUUUGACCAGCGUCUCAGCAACAACACUGCCUCCCAGCUUUGCAAGGUAAUUACUUUCCCAAUUACUGUACACCAAAACGAAGUAACUGUCGUGGUCAACAAAUCUGCCUCCCAACUUUCAAGGUAAUCACUUUCUCAAUUACAAUAUACAAACUGUUAUGGAACUUUACUUAAGAAAGCUUUAAGACCGGGUAGUGACACUAUCAAUAUGUCUAUUUAAAGAAAAGAGAGAUUUUUUUUUUUGUUCUUGUAGUCAUCUUGUCUGUCAAUGUAUCAGAGGGUUAAAAUAACAAAUUGCUUGAAAUGCCAAUAAUUAAUAUUCUGUUUUUAUGUUGACAUUCUACCAGAUGCCGAAAAAAAAUAAAAGAUCCCAGGCACAAAAGAAGCGCUGGAAACCACUUGACCUGGUCGAUCCUGCUGUCCCAGUGCUCUCUGGCCACAACCAAGAUGAGGCAGUCAGUAGUUUUCCAUCUGACCAGCAGACGGCACCAGCCGGGUUAUCUUUGGAAACACAGGAUAGACCCACCUCCUUAUGUUCCCCAGGUACCAAGCAGACAGCACCAGCCAGCUUGUCCUUGGAAACGGAGAAUAGACCCACCUCCUUAUGUCCUCCAGGCAGCAAGAGUUCAGAAACUCGUCCACCAGCAAAACGAGUCUGGGCAACCGAUGAUUUCCACAUGGCAUCAAAUUCUCCACCUAAAAAGCCUUUCCACAACAUAAAUGAACAACUACUGACAGAGGAGCUACAGAGCAACGCAGUUCAGCACUUCUGGUGUGUCAGUGCAACUCAUUGUCAAAGUGAUGAAAGGUACACAGAAUUCUCUCGAAAUCAUCAGUGCACAUGUAAUGCCCUCACAUUCCUGGCCUACCUUAAUGAGGAACACCAGUUCAACACAGCCCGACUUGAUAAGGUGCUUGAACAGGGAGAUGCACUCUACUGUUGGAUUAAAACACAUCUUCAGCAGGAGAGGCGUUAUACACAAAAUCAUCUGACCAUGGAGGACCUGCCCAAAGAAGUUCAUGCUGACAUAAACGUCUACAGUGUGAAAAUGGACAACAUAAGGUAUGGAUACCUGAAAGCAGC